GACGUAGGGCGCGAGCGUUGUCCGGAUUUAUUGGGCGUAAAGAGCUCGUAGGCGGCUUGUCGCGUCGACUGUGAAAUCCCGCGGCUCAACUGCGGGUCUGCAGUCGAUACGGGCAGGCUAGAGUUCGGUAGGGGAGACUGGAAUUCCUGGUGUAGCGGUGAAAUGCGCAGAUAUCAGGAGGAACACCGGUGGCGAAGGCGGGUCUCUGGGCCGAUACUGACGCUGAGGAGCGAAAGCGUGGGGAGCGAACAGG
RNAcentral lists this ribosomal RNA (253 nucleotides) under uncultured bacterium. Its description in RNAcentral is "partial 16S ribosomal RNA". It matches the Rfam family "Bacterial small subunit ribosomal RNA", at positions 524 to 776 of the family's 1533-position model. The record is from RNAcentral.